UUCUUUGCUUUGUGGGAUUGAAAUCAUUUAAGGAAAGGAAUGAGAUCACUUACACUUUUUAAAGACAGAGGGACGCCCUGAGCUUCCCACUUCUCCCACCCACAUUUCUCUGAAGUCAGUGAGGCACUACUUCUGCUUGGCAACAAAGAAGCUGCCUUCUCUUAUUUCCCAAAGUCCCCCUUUUUUUUUGCCAAGAUAAUCUUUCCCAGACAGAGGCAUUCAGGAGAAAUAGAAGUCUCCAGUCCCCAGAAGUGGGAAGGGAGGCAGGAAAUCACACAGAAAAGGCCCUGGCAGUACUUAGUCAAAUGAGUUCAGCAUUUGGAUAGGGACCAGCAGCUGACACACAUAUGAGAAGAUUAGGAGAGUAUGUGUACUGAAUAGUUCACCAAAACCAAAAAAAUUAAAAUUAUAAGGCUGUGGGAAAAAAUACUAGUUAUGACAAUAAAGCAAUUAAUUUUCCUUACAAAGUAUCUGUUAACCACAAUUGGCAAAUUAAUCACCAUAAUAAUCACCAAAAUAAUCCACUAUAAAACUUCACUUGGUUGUUUGAGAAAGGAGAAAGCCUGUUAAUCAGAGCCAAUUUUUAAUGGCUGAUUUUUCUAAAGCCCUUUUAGUGCUCAAAUAAGGGUAACUACUAACAGUCUUUUGGACAACUAGUAUCAAGAAUGAAUGAGAAUCAUUCUUAAGGACUUUAGGUUGUUAUAUUCAUUAGUUGCUAGCGUACUUAAAGGUAGAUUAUUAGUAUUAUUGUAUUAAGUAUCCUGUCUUGUUUCUCAGAAAUAUUUUCUCCACACAUGUUAAUAUUUUAAAAAUCAGUCCAUGCAAUGAUAUGAUGAUUAGAACCAUAAAUAGUUUGGACACUAAUUAAUGAAGCUUUUCAUUUUUAGGAAAACAGCAGAAUUAUCUCAGAAAGGCUAUAGGUGCACAGCUUUUAACUCUACCUCCUGCUGCUAAGGGAUGUUAAAUAUUGGUAAACAGAAAGUGAACACAGAAGAAAGAAUUUCUGAUUGAUGAGGGCAAGUCUUUCAAAAACCAUCCAAUUUAAAAGAUACCCUUUUCCUGGCCGAAAACCAGAGAAGUCUCUAACCCUCUCCAACCACAAUUUCAGUAAUUUUUUAGAUGGCAUUUUUCCUCAGAACCAUUAACAUUAUAGAACAGGCAGAAUUCUAUCAUCCCUACAAUUGACAGAUAGCAAAAAAUAACCCUCCAAAAGCCAGAAUAAUGGAAAACAUGGAUGAAAUCAUAAAGUCACAGUAAGAAGUUCCAUAAAGAGUAAACUGAUUAUGUUACAAGUCAGGGAGUUCUGUGAAAUUGUGUUGUCUAAAAUCGAGAAGUAACUAAGAUAGGCUAUUCCAUGCAACGUGCUGUCGAGGGUAGAACACACUAGUAGUGAUCACUCCAGGCUCAAGAUUUAACCAAUAACCUAGUAAUAAGGAUGGGUACCUAACAAUAGAAACACACCACAGAGGUGGUGGGCGCCUGUAAUCCCAGCUACUCCGGAGGCUGAGGCAGAGAAUUGCUUGAACCCGGGAGGCGGAGCUUGUAGUGAGCCGAGAUUGCGCCACUGCACUGCAGCCUGGGUGACAGAACGAGACUCCGUCCCA
This is a long non-coding RNA of Macaca fascicularis (crab-eating macaque), 1604 nucleotides long. The record is from Ensembl. Lineage: Eukaryota; Metazoa; Chordata; Mammalia; Primates; Cercopithecidae.